Long non-coding RNA from Ictalurus punctatus (channel catfish), 257 nucleotides. NCBI's taxonomy places the organism in Eukaryota, Metazoa, Chordata, Actinopteri, Siluriformes, Ictaluridae. The record is from Ensembl.
AAGUGAGACUAAUUAACGUGAAAUACUCAGUAUUUCUCUACAACUAAUUGGUUCCUUCUUCCCCAGAGUUCCAGAGACACCCCGCAGUGACCGAAUGAACAUUUGAACAAGGCAACAACUGUACUAAUGAGUAACAGUGCCGGAGAGAAGCAGAAAUAUUGACGCAGGAAGGCAGGAUGGACUGCUUGGCCUAACGUGCCUUUUCCUUCUGAGACCUGGAUGACAUUUGCCUCUGGAACAUUCUUUCAGAGCAACAG